RNAcentral lists this ribosomal RNA (499 nucleotides) under Scinax perpusillus (Bandeirantes snouted treefrog). RNAcentral's name for it is "partial 12S ribosomal RNA". It matches the Rfam family "Bacterial small subunit ribosomal RNA", at positions 789 to 1522 of the family's 1533-position model. The record is from RNAcentral. Lineage: Eukaryota; Metazoa; Chordata; Amphibia; Anura; Hylidae.
ACUAUGCCUAGCCGUAAACCAUAACUUACACUCAAAUCGCCAGGGAAUUACGAGCUAAAAGCUUAAAACCCAAAGGACUUGACGGUACCCCACAUCCCCCUAGAGGAGCCUGUUCUAUAAUCGAUAAUCCACGUUUAACCUCACCACUUUUAGCUUAUCAGCCUGUAUACCUCCGUCGUCAGCUUACCCCGUGAGCGACCAAUAGUGAGCUUAAUGUCCACCCGUCAAAACGUCAGGUCAAGGUGCAGCUUAUAAAGUGGGAAGAGAUGGGCUACACUCUCUAAUUUAGAGAAUACGAAAGACUAUUUAUGAAAUUUAGUCGGAAGGCGGAUUUAGAAGUAAAAAGGGACAAGAACACUCUUUUUAACCCGGCACUGGGGUGUGUACACACCGCCCGUCACCCUCCUCGAAAGCCGAUAAAGCAGUAUCUAACUCAUUUAAGCUAAAUAGAAGAGGCAAGUCGUAACAUGGUAAGCGCACCGGAAGGUGCGCUUGGAAA